AAGUGAUUUUGUAAUUAGAAUGUUUUGACAUAUUGUUCUGCUCUUUAAUUUGUUGUGAAGUAGGUUCUGAGUUUUGGUUUUUGUGUUGGAGUAGUAAGGCUUUUAUUUUGAAGGUCAAGGUGGGUCUGGGACAGGAAGUCAGCCAUUUUAUUGGGAUUGUUUUGCUCAGUCACACAUGAGGAGGUGAAUCUAUCACAAUCCGCCUUUUGUUUAUGCCAUCGACAUCACCGUCUUUUACUCCAUGUCAUACGAGUACUUGGGUCAC
Molecule: long non-coding RNA, 265 nt
Organism: Xiphophorus hellerii (green swordtail)
Lineage: Eukaryota; Metazoa; Chordata; Actinopteri; Cyprinodontiformes; Poeciliidae
Exons: 2
Source: RefSeq, a predicted model, not a curated record